UACAGAGGGUGCGAGCGUUUGUUCGGAAUUAUUGGGCGUAAAGAGCUCGUAGGCGGUUUGAUCGCGUCUGCUGUGAAAACCUAAGGCUCAACCUUGGGCUUGCAGUGGGUACGGGGCAGACUAGAGUGCGGUAGGGGUGACUGGAAUUCCUGGUGUAGCGGUGGAAUGCGCAGAUAUCAGGAGGAACACCGAUGGCGAAGGCAGGUCACUGGGCCGCAACUGACGCUGAGGAGCGAAAGCGUGGGGAGCAAACAGG
Molecule: ribosomal RNA, 256 nt
Filed under: uncultured bacterium
Lineage: Bacteria
Description: partial 16S ribosomal RNA
Rfam family: Bacterial small subunit ribosomal RNA
Source: RNAcentral